RNAcentral lists this ribosomal RNA (468 nucleotides) under uncultured bacterium. RNAcentral's name for it is "partial 16S ribosomal RNA". It matches the Rfam family "Bacterial small subunit ribosomal RNA", at positions 28 to 507 of the family's 1533-position model. The record is from RNAcentral.
GACGAACGCUGGCGGCGUGCUUAACACAUGCAAGUCGAACGGAAAGGCCCUGCUUUUGUGGGGUGCUCGAGUGGCGAACGGGUGAGUAACACGUGAGUAACCUGCCCUUGACUUUGGGAUAACUUCAGGAAACUGGGGCUAAUACCCGAUAGGAGCUCCUGCUGCAUGGUGGGGGUUGGAAAGUUUCGGCGGUUGGGGAUGGACUCGCGGCUUAUCAGCUUGUUGGUGGGGUAGUGGCUUACCAAGGCUUUGACGGGUAGCCGGCCUGAGAGGGUGACCGGCCACAUUGGGACUGAGAUACGGCCCAGACUGCUACGGGAGGCAGCAGUGGGGAAUAUUGCACAAUGGGCGGAAGCCUGAUGCAGCAACGCCGCGUGCGGGAUGACGGCCUUCGGGGUGUAAACCGCUUUCGCCUGUGACGAAGCGUGAGUGACGGUAAUGGGUAAAGAAGCACCGGCUAACUACGUG